AUUUUUUUGUUUUUUAGGAUUUUUUGUUGGUGCAUGAGUAGAGAUAUUUCAGCAAUUGAAGAGUAUUCUUUUGAUCCAAAAUUGAGAGAACCUUGAGAAUGAGGAGAAAAGAAUUGUGAGAAAUGGAAAGAAUUAGAAAUGAUCAGGUUAGAGAAGAGUCAUUACAUCAGGAAGGAAGGGAUGCUAAUAUUUCUCGAGUAAUAGAUGACAGAGAUAGACCCAUUAGAGAACAUGUAGUGCCGAUUUU
This 247-nucleotide long non-coding RNA is filed under the name Gossypium raimondii (Peruvian cotton). Its description in RNAcentral is "long non-coding RNA (GRAI_LNC004459)". The record is from RNAcentral. Lineage: Eukaryota; Viridiplantae; Streptophyta; Magnoliopsida; Malvales; Malvaceae.